CAAAUUACGACCUACCAUAUAACACCUAUGUUUGAAAAAGCGAAGCUAAGUUACUCACUUCUAGCAGAUGACCUGGCUGCUCGUCUUCGGUCCUCUGGUCUCCUCUGUGGUUGCAGCCAUCUCACCACACGUGGACUCCAGAGGGAGGUCUUGAGAACCAAAGAUGCAAUCUGCCCUGUGGGGAUUGCUCUGUUGGAAAAAAAAGCUUCGCAAAAUUUUCCAGAAAUGUCCUCACCAUGGCGGAGUCGCACUCAGAACUCUAUCUAAAAGAACCUAUCUCCUCCACGAGAUCCAUCUGCCACUGUCUCAGGAGUCCCGGGUUUAAAGGUUCUCUCUUUGUAGCCCAGGCUACCCUUCAACUCAAGACCCGAUGGCUCAGGCUCCCUUGUCCCAAGAUCUGCACCACCAUGCCCCCACCCUGAAGCUUCUUCUUAUACCAUCUACAACCCACUUGUUGACCAAUUCCUGAGGAUAAUAUACACAUGGAGAAAACAAAUGAUAAGCUGGGAAAGCCAUGGGACCCAUGGCUGUAGGAAUUAGGCUCCUCGCGGGAUUUUGUAAUGGACAAUGGUAAAGAGUAAUCGUAAAAGCUGUGUGUGAUUCUGUCCCAGUUACAUGUGGUUCUGUAGCCUCUGGAGACACUAGAUUACCGAGAGUCUGGGCAGUUGACUGACAUGGCAGGCACUUCCAUCUAUCCAGUUACAGAGAAGGCCUCCUUGUUCCACGCAGCAGUCAGUUGCUGCUUUGCUCCUCUCAUUUGGGGCAGUGCACCAGCUCUCAGAGAAGAAAGCAGCCAGCGACAGCCAGCACAGUCUUCCCAGAAUCAUGCUGAGUGGAAAGAGAAGAUGAUGAAACUGUACACCAGUCAGGGACUCUUACUUUUCUUUCUUUCUGAAAGCAUCUCUGUCACCUUCAGGCAUGGAGAAUGUUUUCAAUGGUUACAUGUGGUUUCCUAGCCUCUGGAGACGCUAGAGUACCAAGAGUGUGGGCGGUCAACUGACGCGGCAGGCACUUUCAUCUAUCCAGCUACAGAGAAGGAAUCCUUCUUCCACCCAGCAGUCAGUUGCUG
Molecule: long non-coding RNA, 1069 nt
Organism: Microtus oregoni (creeping vole)
Lineage: Eukaryota; Metazoa; Chordata; Mammalia; Rodentia; Cricetidae
Exons: 8
Source: RefSeq, a predicted model, not a curated record